AGCUCCAAUAGCGUAUAUUAAAGUUGUUGCAGUUAAAAAGCUCGUAGUUGGAUUUCGGGGCAGCCUGGCUGGUCCGCCGCAAGGCGAGUACUGGUCAGCCGCCCUUCCUCUCGAAAGCCCCGACUGCUCUUUAUUGUAGUGGUCGGGUAGUUCGGGACGUUUACUUUGAAAAAAUUAGAGUGUUCAAGGCAGGCCUACGCCUGAAUACAUUAGCAUGGAAUAAUGGAAGAGGACCUCGGUCCUAUUUUGUUGGUUUCCAGGGCCGAAGUAAUGAUUAAGAGGGACAGUUGGGGGCAUUCGUAUUUAAUUGUCAGAGGUGAAAUUCUCGGAUUUAUGAAAGACGAACAACUGCGAAAGCAUUUGCCAAGGAUGUUUUCA
Molecule: ribosomal RNA, 378 nt
Filed under: marine Metazoa environmental sample
Lineage: Eukaryota; Metazoa
Description: SSU rRNA
Rfam family: Eukaryotic small subunit ribosomal RNA
Source: RNAcentral